RNAcentral lists this ribosomal RNA (119 nucleotides) under Lepisosteus oculatus (spotted gar). Lineage: Eukaryota; Metazoa; Chordata; Actinopteri; Semionotiformes; Lepisosteidae. The record is from RNAcentral.
GCCAGCAGCCAUAUCACUCUGCAACUCACAACUGGCAACCCACUGAAACUAAGCAGGUGUGAGCCUGGUCAGUACCUGGAUGGGAAAACUCCUGAGAAAAACUAAGGUUGCUGCUGGAA